AAGUGUACACGAGUAUGUGGAGCUCAAUGUAUGAAUAUAAUACCAAAAGUGGUCUAUUGUAAAAGUACUUAUUUUUAACUGGAAUGUACGUGAACUGUUUACAAUAGAUCGUUUCACCGAAUACUUGUCCAUUCAAUUGGGCAGAAAAUAAUUAAUGUCGUUGGAACGACAAACUUAGUUGAUAAAAGAUUGCGUUUGAGUAUUUUCGAAAAUUAAUUUCAAUAUAUAGUAAUUGUUUUUCCACUUCGAAUUAAUAAAUUGUGAAUUUUCAUUCGGCUAAAAUGCAAAAAACAGAGAAGACUCUCAAUUUGCCACAAAUUGCAUAUUUCGUUGGUGCUUUUCUUCUGUAUUGUCUAAUUAUAACAUGCAUAAUUGCGUGUUUGGGCCGUAAGAUGCAUUCAGAACAUUUCAAUGUGUAUAGAUUUCAACAAACACAAAUGAAGAAAAACCAAAAGUGCUUUGAAUUGCCGGAAAAAAGUGAAAAGUUACAGAUUCUUGAUGAUGUACUAAAAUCAAGACCGCCGAGCGACACAACUGUAUUCUUCCAUCAUACAUCAUGUGCAGAAAAUGGUUAUAUUCGCUAUGCGUUUAGACAAGCAUGUGGGAUUGAAUCAGCUGCGAAAUGGAAUCCAAAGCGUGAUGUUUUAAUUUUGCAUGCAGCAAAGGGCGGAUCUUCACUCAAUAACACGAUGAUGAACGCCUUGAAAUCAUAUGCAAACAUUCAUUUUCGAGAUGUGGAUUUGUCCAAUUACGCUGGCGCCCACCUAUCAGAUCUUUUGCGAUUCAUUACGGUCUACAGAUUUGGAGGCAUCCAUUUUGAUAUGGGUUUUAUUUUUCAAAGAAAUUUAGAUGAUUUUCCACCCAAUUUUGCAGUUGUUGACAGCGAAUUAAUGACUAAAACAGUUCUGGGAAUCGAUUCCAACUUCACUGGUCGUAAGCUUGCUGAAGAGUUUUAAAGAGAAUAUACACAGAAUUAUCAACCAUUUCAACCGAAUGAACCAGAUGCAAUUACACCGGUUUUAAAAAGAAUAUGCAAAGAAGAAGAGCUCCACACUAUGAAACGGUAUUCAAUGAAACCGGAGAAAUGUUUAGGCCUUAAACUCUAUCCAACCAAAGCUUUCUUCCCGAUUAGUGAGUCGAAUUGGAGUGAUCUCUUUACCACCGAUCCAAAGAUUGUUAACAAAACAAUGGAAGAUGUGAAGGAUGCAACUGCCAUUUAUGUUUGGAAGCAUAUGUUAGUUACAAAGAAUAUAAAUUCUGGAUCAAUGUCUGCUUAUGAAAAAUUAGCUGAAAUGAACUGCCCAAAAGUGUUUGCUACUAUACCAUUAGGUGCAGUCUUCUGAAGCCUUUUAACCAUAUCGCAAAAAGAUGAAUGUAAGCUUAGAAUAUGAAACUAAAGGCUGUUUGAACUGAAUGAUGUAUAAAUUGAAUAUUAUAUCCAUUUUUGCGAGUGUUGAAAUCAAACGAGUAUUGAAAUAUAAUAAAUAUUUUGAACUGA
Long non-coding RNA from Sitodiplosis mosellana (orange wheat blossom midge), 1498 nucleotides. RefSeq lists it as uncharacterized. The transcript is spliced from 4 exons. NCBI's taxonomy places the organism in Eukaryota, Metazoa, Arthropoda, Insecta, Diptera, Cecidomyiidae. The record is from RefSeq and is a predicted model, not a curated record.